This 301-nucleotide ribosomal RNA is filed under the name uncultured bacterium. RNAcentral describes it as "partial 16S ribosomal RNA". It matches the Rfam family "Bacterial small subunit ribosomal RNA", at positions 509 to 807 of the family's 1533-position model. The record is from RNAcentral.
CAGUCGCCGCGGUAACACGGAGGGUGCAAGCGUUAUCCGGAUUUAUUGGGUUUAAAGGGUCCGUAGGCGGACUUAUAAGUCAGUGGUGAAAGCCUGUCGCUUAACGAUAGAACUGCCAUUGAUACUGUAAGUCUUGAGUAUAUUUGAGGUAGCUGGAAUAAGUAGUGUAGCGGUGAAAUGCAUAGAUAUUACUUAGAACACCAAUUGCGAAGGCAGGUUACCAAGAUAUAACUGACGCUGAGGGACGAAAGCGUGGGUAGCGAACAGGAUUAGAUACCCGCGUAGUCCCUGUCUCUUAUAC